GGUUAAGCGACUAAGCGUACACGGUGGAUGCCCUGGCAGUCAGAGGCGAUGAAGGACGUGCUAAUCUGCGAUAAGCGUCGGUAAGGUGAUAUGAACCGUUAUAACCGGCGAUUUCCGAAUGGGGAAACCCAGUGUGUUUCGACACACUAUCAUUACGUGAAUACAUAGCGUAAUGAAGCGAACCGGGGGAACUGAAACAUCUAAGUACCCCGAGGAAAAGAAAUCAACCGAGAUUCCCCCAGUAGCGGCGAGCGAACGGGGAGCAGCCCAGAGUCUGAAUCAGCUUGUGUGUUAGUGGAACGGUCUGGAAAGUCCGACGGUACAGGGUGAUAGUCCCGUACACCAAAAUGCACAGGUUGUGAACUCGAAGAGUAGGGCGGGACACGUGGUAUCCUGUCUGAAUAUGGGGGGACCAUCCUCCAAGGCUAAAUACUCCUGACUGACCGAUAGUGAACCAGUACCGUGAGGGAAAGGCGAAAAGAACCCCGGCGAGGGAGUGAAAAAGAACCUGAAACCGUGUACGUACAAGCAGUGGGAGCCUACUUGUUAGGUGACUGCGUACCUUUUGUAUAAUGGGUCAGCGACUUAUAUUCUGUAGCAAGGUUAACCGUAUAGGGGAGCCGAAGGGAAACCGAGUCUUAACUGGGCGUUAAGUUGCAGGGUAUAGACCCGAAACCCGGUGAUCUAGCCAUGGGCAGGUUGAAGGUUGGGUAACACUAACUGGAGGACCGAACCGACUAAUGUUGAAAAAUUAGCGGAUGACUUGUGGCUGGGGGUGAAAGGCCAAUCAAACCGGGAGAUAGCUGGUUCUCCCCGAAAGCUAUUUAGGUAGCGCCUCGUGAAUUCAUCUUCGGGGGUAGAGCACUGUUUCGGCUAGGGGGUCAUCCCGACUUACCAACCCGAUGCAAACUGCGAAUACCGAAGAAUGUUAUCACGGGAGACACACGGCGGGUGCUAACGUCCGUCGUGAAGAGGGAAACAACCCAGACCGCCAGCUAAGGUCCCAAAGUCAUGGUUAAGUGGGAAACGAUGUGGGAAGGCACAGACAGCCAGGAUGUUGGCUUAGAAGCAGCCAUCAUUUAAAGAAAGCGUAAUAGCUCACUGGUCGAGUCGGCCUGCGCGGAAGAUGUAACGGGGCUAAACCAUGCACCGAAGCUGCGGCAGCGACACUAUGUGUUGUUGGGUAGGGGAGCGUUCUGUAAGCCGUUGAAGGUGUAUCGUGAGGUAUGCUGGAGGUAUCAGAAGUGCGAAUGCUGACAUAAGUAACGAUAAUGCGGGUGAAAAACCCGCACGCCGGAAGACCAAGGGUUCCUGUCCAACGUUAAUCGGGGCAGGGUGAGUCGACCCCUAAGGCGAGGCCGAAAGGCGUAGUCGAUGGGAAACAGGUUAAUAUUCCUGUACUUGGUGUUACUGCGAAGGGGGGACGGAGAAGGCUAUGUUAGCCGGGCGACGGUUGUCCCGGUUUAAGCAUGUAGGCGGAGGUUCCAGGUAAAUCCGGUACCUUUUUAACGCUGAGGUGUGAUGACGAGGCACUACGGUGCUGAAGUAACAAAUGCCCUGCUUCCAGGAAAAGCCUCUAAGCAUCAGGUAACACGAAAUCGUACCCCAAACCGACACAGGUGGUCAGGUAGAGAAUACCAAGGCGCUUGAGAGAACUCGGGUGAAGGAACUAGGCAAAAUGGUGCCGUAACUUCGGGAGAAGGCACGCUGAUAUGUAGGUGAAGUGAUUUACUCAUGGAGCUGAAAUCAGUCGAAGAUACCAGCUGGCUGCAACUGUUUAUUAAAAACACAGCACUGUGCAAACACGAAAGUGGACGUAUACGGUGUGACGCCUGCCCGGUGCCGGAAGGUUAAUUGAUGGGGUUAUCCGUAAGGAGAAGCUCUUGAUCGAAGCCCCGGUAAACGGCGGCCGUAACUAUAACGGUCCUAAGGUAGCGAAAUUCCUUGUCGGGUAAGUUCCGACCUGCACGAAUGGCGUAAUGAUGGCCAGGCUGUCUCCACCCGAGACUCAGUGAAAUUGAACUCGCUGUGAAGAUGCAGUGUACCCGCGGCAAGACGGAAAGACCCCGUGAACCUUUACUAUAGCUUGACACUGAACACUGGUCCUUGAUGUGUAGGAUAGGUGGGAGGCUUUGAAGUGUGGACGCCAGUCUGCAUGGAGCCAUCCUUGAAAUACCACCCUUUAAUGGCUGGUGUUCUAACGUGGACCCGUUACCCGGGUUGCGGACAGUGUCUGGUGGGUAGUUUGACUGGGGCGGUCUCCUCCUAAAGAGUAACGGAGGAGCACGAAGGUUAGCUAAUCCUGGUCGGACAUCAGGAGGUUAGUGCAAAGGCAUAAGCUAGCUUGACUGCGAGAGUGACGGCUCGAGCAGGUGCGAAAGCAGGUCUUAGUGAUCCGGUGGUUCUGAAUGGAAGGGCCAUCGCUCAACGGAUAAAAGGUACUCCGGGGAUAACAGGCUGAUACCGCCCAAGAGUUCAUAUCGACGGCGGUGUUUGGCACCUCGAUGUCGGCUCAUCACAUCCUGGGGCUGAAGUAGGUCCCAAGGGUAUGGCUGUUCGCCAUUUAAAGUGGUACGCGAGCUGGGUUUAGAACGUCGUGAGACAGUUCGGUCCCUAUCUGCCGUGGGCGCUGGAGAAUUGAGGGGGCUGCUCCUAGUACGAGAGGACCGGAGUGGACGCAUCACUGGUGUUCGGGUUGUCAUGCCAAUGGCAUUGCCCGGUAGCUAAAUGCGGAAGAGAUAAGUGCUGAAAGCAUCUAAGCACGAAACUUGCCCCGAGAUGAGUUCUCCCUGAGACUAUAAGUCUCCUGAAGGAACGUUGAAGACGACGACGUUGAUAGGUCGGGUGUGUAAGUGUAGCGAUACAUUGAGCUAACCGAUACUAAUGAACCGUGAGGCUUAACCUU
RNAcentral lists this ribosomal RNA (2905 nucleotides) under Citrobacter freundii. RNAcentral's name for it is "23S ribosomal RNA". It matches the Rfam family "Bacterial large subunit ribosomal RNA". The record is from RNAcentral. Lineage: Bacteria; Pseudomonadati; Pseudomonadota; Gammaproteobacteria; Enterobacterales; Enterobacteriaceae.